AGCGCAAUGACUCUUCUAAAUGGUGGUGGUUGUCCCGGUACAAUAUUGAACUAGAAGGAAAAUGCAUGGACACGAGCCAAGUUGAAGCAAACAAACUAGCUCACUCCAUGUCCUGGUGCUCUGUUGGGUCUCAUGGCUUCUGUAACCUGUGAGGAGAAGAGAGCUCCUGAGCUUUACGGGAAUUGGGCAGCAGAUGGACUUCAGCAGUCAGCUAGAUCAAGGAAUUAGUUCUGAGUAGAAAUAAACAAGGCCUAAGUCCACCUGUCCUGAAACGAGGAGGCCACAGGCACCCUGGGAUGGCUGGCAUUCCUUCAGGGCCUCACCUGGCAGAACAUGGUGUGUGUGUGAAGGACUGAAGCUGUGGCCAGCAAUCAGGCUGCCAUCAGCUUCUCCCCUGCCUUGGGGAGCUCCUUCAUCCCGAGCUGCCCCUCUGGAAGAGCCUGGCACGGAGCAAGUGUCCUCACUGCGUGUCUGCUGGAAGGUCCAGGAUUGUUUUGUUGCUACAGAAGGCGUGAAAGCAGGUACAUGGUUGUGUGACUGCGUGACGUUGCCACCAGCUCUUCAGCGGCACUGGGUGAGUAACAGCCUUUCUGUCACAGUCGCUGUGUGGUCUAGCAGCUCCCUGCACAUGUGGGCUGGGUUGAAGUGAGAUGGAAAUUUCAGGGGGUUGACAAAAAUAAAUACUUUGUUUCAUGUCAG
This 699-nucleotide long non-coding RNA is filed under the name Cairina moschata (Muscovy duck). RNAcentral's name for it is "domestica (muscovy Duck (domestic type)) lncRNA (ENSCMMG00000014842.1)". Lineage: Eukaryota; Metazoa; Chordata; Aves; Anseriformes; Anatidae. The record is from RNAcentral.